Molecule: ribosomal RNA, 472 nt
Filed under: uncultured bacterium
Lineage: Bacteria
Description: bacterial SSU rRNA
Rfam family: Bacterial small subunit ribosomal RNA
Source: RNAcentral
GAGUUUGAUCAUGGCUCAGAUUGAACGCUGGCGGCAGGCUUAACACAUGCAAGUCGAGCGGUUUGGUUAGCUUGCUAACCAGAUAGCGGCGAACGGGUGAGGAAUGCUUGGGAAUCUGCCUAGUAGUGGGGGAUAACGUUUCGAAAGGAACGCUAAUACCGCAUACGCCCUACGGGGGAAAGGGGGGGAUCUUCGGACCUCUCGCUAUUAGAUGAGCCCGCGUCCGAUUAGCUAGUUGGUGAGGUAAAGGCUCACCAAGGCGACGAUGCGUAGCUGGUCUGAGAGGAUGAUCCGCCACACUGGAACUGAGACACGGACCAGACUCCUACGGGAGGCAGCAGUGGGGAAUAUUGGACAAUGGGCGAAAGCCUGAUCCAGCCAUGCCGCGUGUGUGAAGAAGGCCUUCUGGAUGGAAAGCUGUUUAUGCGAGGAAGAAUGGCUGACGGUUAGUAACCUUCUGCAGUGACUGUAC